GACGAACGCUGGCGGCGUGCUUAACACAUGCAAGUCGAGCGGUAAGGCCCUUUCGGGGGUACACGAGCGGCGAACGGGUGAGUAACACGUGGGUGACCUGCCUUUAGCUCUGGGAUAAGCCUGGGAAACUGGGUCUAAUACCGGAUAUGACUCCGCGGUGCAUGCUGUGGGGUGAAAAGCCUUGUGCGGCUGGAGAUGGGCCCGCGGCCUAUCAGCUUGUUGGUGGGGUGAUGGCCUACCAAGGCGACGACGGGUAGCCGGCCUGAGAGGGCGGACGGCCACACUGGAACUGAGACACGGUCCAGACUCCUACGGGAGGCAGCAGUGGGGAAUUUUCGCAAUGGGGCAACCCUGACGAAGCAACGCGCGUGGGGAUGAAGGUCUUCGGAUUGUAAACCCUGUCGACUGGGACGAAUGUAGAACGGCCUAAUACGCCGAGCUAUUGACUGUACCGGUGGAGGAAGCCACGGCUAACUCUGUGCCAGCCGCCGCCGUAAG
This 498-nucleotide ribosomal RNA is filed under the name uncultured bacterium. RNAcentral describes it as "bacterial SSU rRNA". It matches the Rfam family "Bacterial small subunit ribosomal RNA", at positions 28 to 524 of the family's 1533-position model. The record is from RNAcentral.